This 743-nucleotide ribosomal RNA is filed under the name Paeniglutamicibacter sp. RNAcentral describes it as "bacterial SSU rRNA". It matches the Rfam family "Bacterial small subunit ribosomal RNA", at positions 76 to 831 of the family's 1533-position model. Lineage: Bacteria; Bacillati; Actinomycetota; Actinomycetes; Micrococcales; Micrococcaceae. The record is from RNAcentral.
GUGCUUGCACAGAAUGAUUAGUGGCGAACGGGUGAGUAACACGUGAGUAACCUGCCCUUGACUCUGGGAUAAGCCUGGGAAACUGGGUCUAAUACCGGAUAUGCACCGUGGACCGCAUGGUUCUUGGUGGAAAGAUUUUUUGGUCAGGGAUGGACUCGCGGCCUAUCAGCUUGUUGGUGAGGUAAUGGCUCACCAAGGCGACGACGGGUAGCCGGCCUGAGAGGGUGACCGGCCACACUGGGACUGAGACACGGCCCAGACUCGUACGGGAGGCAGCAGUGGGGAAUAUUGCACAAUGGGCGAAAGCCUGAUGCAGCGACGCCGCGUGAGGGAUGACGGCCUUCGGGUUGUAAACCUCUUUCAGUAGGGAAGAAGCGAAAGUGACGGUACCUGCAGAAGAAGCGCCGGCUAACUACGUGCCAGCAGCCGCGGUAAUACGUAGGGCGCAAGCGUUAUCCGGAAUUAUUGGGCGUAAAGAGCUCGUAGGCGGUUUGUCGCGUCUAUCGUGAAAGUCCGAGGCUCAACCUCGGAUCUGCGGUGGGUACGGGCAGACUAGAGUGAUGUAGGGGAGACUGGAAUUCCUGGUGUAGCGGUGAAAUGCGCAGAUAUCAGGAGGAACACCGAUGGCGAAGGCAGGUCUCUGGGCAUUAACUGACGCUGAGGAGCGAAAGCAUGGGGAGCGAACAGGAUUAGAUACCCUGGUAGUGCAUGCCGUAAACGUGGGGCACUAGGUGUGGGGGACA